AAGUGGUAUUUUUUCCUGUCUGUAAUCACUGGCUGUGGGAGAACCCUGGAGCUGUGGGCCAGCCUUGGCUCCUCUGUGGGCACAUCUCUUGAGCUGCUGGGACAUCAGGGUGAGGAGCAGCCCUAAAUUUUCAUAUGAUCUGAGAAGCCAGAAGAAUCUGAAACCACAAACCUCUGUCAUCUCCAGUCACUACAAGGAACGAGAUAGACAGGUCCCGGGAUGAAGUCCAGGGUGUCCAGUGAGUGGAUGGAGAAGACCCUGUCUGGGAGCUUCUGCCUCUUGAGUGGUACCAGCCCUGCCUAAGAAGAGAAGAGAGGUGUCGAGGGCCUGCAGUGGCUGCCUGGAUCUUGCUAUGGUGCCGUGACGGUUAACAUUAUAUCAACCCACAGGAUCUGGAGUGAGUGGCUUCGGAGGUGAAUCUUUUAGCCUGUCGGUGACAGAGUGUCUGGAUUGGGCUAACCAAAGUGGGAAGACCAGCUCUAAACGUGGAUGGUACCAUCCCUUGAGCUGAGAUCCUAGACUUGGAAGAAAGGGAGCCAGCGAGCUGAGCACCAGCAUUUAUCUCUCUGCUUCCUGACUGUGGAUGUGUGUCCAGCUGCCUCACACGCCUGCUGCCCAGACUUCCCCCAACCCUUGGCCAAGUGGAUGCCUUCCAUGCUUAUACUGUCGCCUGUCAGGUCAUGGUCAUAGCAAUGAGACUUUAGGGUUAGGGUUAAGGUUAGAGUGAGGGUUAGGGUUAAGAUUAGGGUUAGGGUUGGGGUUGAGGUUAGAAUCAGUGUUAGGGUUAGUGUUAGUGUUGGUUAGGGAUAGUUUUAGGGUAUUAACCACACUUGCAUUCAUGCCAGUGUCAACUGAGUGUGAACCGUGCAUCCCACACAUGUGUCAAUGUUCCAGAAAGCAGAAUAACUACUUAUUACUGAGUGGAGAAUUAGAAAAUUACAAUUUAGGUCCCACAUCGCCCCUGGGUUAUCUUUAUCCUCCUUGAUAAGCAUUUGUCUCCCAGCCCCGUGUUUUCCCGUCCUCCUUUUGAUUGUUAUAUAAAUAGGUCUGCAGUGUCCUAACAGAUCGCUAGUUCCCACUGACUCCAAGAAUGGCAUCCGACAGCACAUGACUACCAUGAUAGAGGUCCUUCUUCUUAGGUGUAACUCAUGAAGCCGAUAUUUCCACAGAUUCAUUUGAAAAUCAUCUUGAUUUAUAUAACUUCCCUUUGUUCUGUAACCAUAAACAUAUCAGCCAACUGUUCCCAUGUUGUUGCAGAGCAUGUAAGUAACCUGGACCAGGUUCCUGGGCCACGUCACACAGUUUGCUCCCUUUGACUUGAGAGCUGGUCUUGUGUGAGCAGGAAGUGGUCAGGUCAGCAAAUCCCCCUCGUGGCCUGGCACUUUAUUCAGAUGAUAUGUGCCUUCCAGAAGAAGGGUGUGGAGAUGGAAUUUCAUCUCCUUAGACAGCUCUGGGUUCCAGACUUGGGAGUUUCAGGUUAGCGAACUACUGGGCAUACAAGGGGUAGUGGUAGAACUUUAGGGUGGGAAUUUCUACCCAGGAGCCCUGCAGUCCCGGUUGGCCCCAUAUAACACCUUGAUCUGGCAAUUUACUUAAAGGCACAAGCUUAGAUUUGCAAAACCUUCUUUAAUAAAAGUUCUCAAAUGCUUAGACCCCUCCCCCUUCUAGCCCACCAUCCAAAGGUAGGGGAGAAAAGAUGUUAAAUAGGACAAGGGGAUGUGGACCUGUUUAGAAGUAGUUCUUUGUGGGCAAUUUUAAUCUCCGUUUUCAGGGUACCAGCAGUCUAGUUGAAUAAUGUCAGGAUACUAGCAGUCCAGCUCAAAAGUGUCACCAGACACGAAUCAGCAGCAGUGGCAUGAUCUAGCAGAAACAGCAAGGCCUCCACCAAAUCGGCUCGAGUCAGCAGGGGUGACCAGAACCAGCCAGAACGCCGGAAGUGCUCUGCCUCACCUUUCAAUGAAGUGAAGCUCAGUGAAGAGGUGAGACCGACGAAGGGUAGCAUGGCUAGCCAUGCAGUCACAGCACCACUGUCUACCAGGUCCUACUUACACUCUCUCCAAACGCCACGUGUCCUCUCACUGGUCUGCUUCAGCAUAACACCACGUGAGUCUGUACCACAUGACAGUGUCUGAAGACAGAGGACUCUCGUGAAGGCCCAGCUGUGGCUCUGGAGCUAAUGGCCUGGCUUCUGGGAUAGCAGGACAGCAACCUGAGCAGCAUGUGAGGGAGGGGUAGGUAGCACCUUUGCCUGCCUGCACCCCCACUCGGGGGUGUCCUCCAGGCUGCAGGUUCAGUGUGGUGGCCGUAGAAACAAGAGAUUCUGGGACCCUCCUUGAGAAGCCCUAAUGCCAGGGACCUGGGGUUGGUUCCUUUCCUCCCUUCCUCAAACCCCUCUCCCUCCUAUUCCCUUCUUCCAUCCUUCUUCCUCUCCUUUUUCCUCCUCCUUACCCUUUUUCCCUCCCUAUUUCCUCCUCUCUCCUGCUUCAUCCCCCCCACUUCCUCUCCUCCCACUUCCUCCCCUCCCCCAUUUCCCCUUUUUCACUUCCUCCCUUCCACACUUCACCCAUUUCCUCCUCCCACUUCCUUUCCUCCUCAUUUCCUUCCCCUAUUUCCUCCCCUCCCCCAUUUCUUCCUCCCACUUCCUCCUGACCCAUUUUCCCCCCUCCUCCACUUCCUCCUCUCUCCUUCCUUUCCUCUUAGUGGCUUUGGGGAUUGAACCUAGUACCUCCUGCAGGCUAAGUGAGCACUCCACCCCUAAGCUACAUUCCCACCCACCUUUUUCAUUUCGAGACAGGUUGGCACUGUGCUGCCCACGUUGGUCUUAAAUGUACUCUGCAGCUGAGGCAAGCUUUGAACUGGCAAACCUUGUCUCAGCCUCUCAAGUUACUGUGAUUCUAGGCUUGCGUCUGCUGGCUCAGUGGGCUUCUGUACUUACACAAAGUAGAUCUGAGGAAGAAUCAUGUUUGAGAUGCACUUCUUCAUAAAACCAAACAUGCAGCCCAGGCAGAGAAAAAUCGGGCAAUGCAGGAAGAGGCAGGGUAUUUUACCGUGUCCAUAGGGCAAAGAGCAGAGAGCAGACAGGAAGGAGCCUGGAAUCUGGGGAGAUUUACCAAUAAAGGAACUCUGUGUUUUCCCCUCAGGCUGGCAGAUCCUAGGAACUAACUCUGAGGCUGGGGGGGGGGGGUGGUGCAUCAAGCAUAAGCUGGUAAUUACGCAGGCACCAUGGAGUGGGGGAAAAGCUGCAGCUCUGAAACCACACAAGACACUGAACAGACUCUUUGCUCCUCCCAUGUUGUCUAAGAAACCCAGAUGUUACUGUCAUAGCCACUACAUAAACAAACAAUGCCAGGCUACAGGGACUGGCUUCUCUGAUUGUCCCCCCCCCAAGGGUUGUCCUGGGCUUGGGCUGCCUCUGCAGCUUUUUUGGGUCAGCAGAGCAGGUGUCAGGCAUGCAGAGGAAGGUUAGAAAAUCCUAGGGGGGGAGGGGGGGUUGGGGAUUUAGCUCAGUGGUAGAGCGCUUGCCUAGGAAGCUCAAGGCCCUGGGUUUGGUCCCCAGCUCCGAAAAAAAGAACCAAAAAAAAAAAAAAAAAAAAAAGAAAAUCCUAGCGGGAGGAUGACUGGCCACAGGCCUGUAGAAACUUUUGCCUGAGGAUUUCUUGCCCCAUCAAGGAUCUCGUUGGUCUUGGAGGGCUUGGGAGCAAGAAGUGACAAUAUGGACAGGUUGAAAUGUUGAGCCGCCACACAGUUACCUGCUGCAAUGAUAUGCAGACCCUCCAACAUGAAGAGCAAGCUGGCUACUGCCUACUGAGGGCUCACAGGCUAAACCGGCCCUGAGAUGGGUCUUUUCAUGGACCAGGAUUCAAAGAUGGGAGGGAUGUUUCUCAGUUUCCUCAGGAAGCAUGUGGUACUGCAGUCCCCCAUAGACUAAUGGUGUGAGUGCUCAGAAGGCCCCGUCUACCCACCCCAAACUCUAGGGCUUUCAGGGGAUAGACGUGGAGCACAGGGGUGGUUACUCCUACCCCCGCAUCUGCCUGUGGUGCUGUUUCUUGCUCACUGCCCUCUGAGAGUCUUCUCUACUUGUUCUCAUGGAUGCUUCUUCACCAUGGAUACAGCCAUGCCUCCCCAUAGCCACGCCUCCCCAUAGCCACGCCCUCUCCACAGAGCCCUCCCCAAAGCCAUGCCCUCCCCUACCAUGCUGGACUCAUUUCUCUCUGAAACCCUGAGCCAAGUCAAGCCUUCCUCUCUCCUCAACAGCUUCUGGGAGGUGGACAGACAUGGGAAAGCAGAGUCUGAGUCUGGAAAUGCCUGUUCACCAUUUCAUCCAUAGUUUAGACUGGCUUUUCUUCUUCAUCAACUCGUUUAAACUCAGUUUUGAAAAACAAAGUUGCUUUUGAGUUUCAGCUGCAAACAAGGUUUCGGUGUUUAUUCUUUUAACUUAAAAAUGGCUACAGGCUUACAGGAUGGCCCUGCUUGCCUGCUUAUAGCACUGCAAGCAACACAAAGAAUGAAGGUAAAUUAGGGACUAUCCCACAACUCGUGAAAACUUCUCUGAACACUGCCCUUCAGACAGAGUGUCCUGGUGAUGCUUAGGCAUGGGGAGCUUGGAAACUCCAGGAGAAUGACUUAGUCACAUGUCUCAUUGCUGUAGUGAAAAAUCCGAGCAAAGCAAGUAAUGAAGGAAGUUUAUCUUGGCUCACGGUUUGAGGAUGCCAUCUGUCAGGACAGAGCAGGCAUGAAGGCAGGACAUGGGGCAGAAAGCCACAGUGCACAUAGUCAAGAUGCAGACAGAGAUGGUGUCUCGUGCCCAGUUCACUGUCUCCUUUUUAUUGAGUUCAGGACCCCAGCCUUUGAGGUGGUGUCACUCACACUGAAGAAAGACCUUCCUACAUCAGUGAAGGAUCUCGAAUCCUCAACCACAUGCCAGGCAGGUCAUCUCCAUGGCGAAAUGUGCACUUGGGUGCUUUAGUUCUGAGGGCCCUAUAUCUCUGGACUCCUUUGGCUGGACGCUGACCCCCAUUUCUCCAAUGCUGACCCACAUUUCCCCAAUGGUCACAUUUUCCUUCCACGGUCUUUCCAGAGAAGGUGCCCUGGAGUACUGCUUUUUAAGACUGUACGUUUUUUAAGCCGGCAUUUACCAAGCAUGAAUUUGAACUUUGUUGAAGAAACACUCUUGAUCAAGGGAGUUGGGGGCGGGGAUCCUGGUCAUCAAGAAAGGAGAUAGGCCCAUGUGGCCUCUUCAGGAGAAAGCCUGUGGCAGGGAGACCGAGUCAUCCAGACAUACCUGUGGGUAGCCUGACUUUGGGGGGUCUAGAUGGACAUACAGACAAUGAUAAAGGUGUCCAUGUAUAAUUUUACAUCUUCGAGAUGGUUACCAAGGGAACCUAAAUAAACCCUCCAGCUUGUUUGCUCUGAGCUGACAUAAAGGUCACCCUUGUGGGAGGUCACACAAGGGGCAGUAACUUGUUAGCUCCUCACUUGCAUUCCUGUGGAGGAAGCCUCUGUCACUGGGUUAUGUUAACAACUGCCUGGGGGAUUUUGUGAGCUCUGAUUCUUCCUUUGUGGCUUCAGGUGUGGCCUGGCAUCUGUCUUCACAUGUGUCCCCUUAGAUGCCUUGCAGGUCCUGUGACCUGCUACUCAUCUCUGCAUGUAGACGUGGCCUCAUUUGGGAAUCAUUUGUCCCAGGCCCCACACUGCCCAGUUGCCUAUCAGAGCAGAGGCACUCCCCUCAAGCCCUGCCCUCUCUCCCUUCAGCAGCCUCAUAAGGUCACAUCACCACGUCCAGCCCCCAAGCACAGUGUGUUCCUGCAGGAUUGCUCAGCAGUUUCUGGGACAAGCUGGCCCACUGCCUGAUUGACCCACCCGUUACUUAAGAAGCAAAGCAUCUUUUGAAACUGAGCCCUCAGUCCAUGGAAAAUGAGCGACUUCAGCCCAUACAAGUCCAUCCAGGCCCCUGUGGGGAGAGCAGCAGGGUUCCAGAGGAAGAUGGGCCAUCUGGGCCAACCUCCCAAUGAAACAUUGCCUGUAUUCACAGCACUUCUUGCCUCUGUCUUGUUAAUUUUUAGCCAAUUGGGCAGGAAGAAAAAUACUCAGUUUUGAGAUAUUUGAUGGAUCUUCUGUUUGAAGGUGGCCAUUGCCUUUCAUUGACAUAUUACCUUCUCACUGAUUUAUAAAAGAUUCUUUUGUAUAUUGAAGAUAUUAGUUCUCUGCAUUAGAAGUAUGAAAUUGUGAUUUUUAACUCUCCGAAUGGCAUUUAAAGGCGUUCGAUAGUGCAUUUUAUAUUGCUGUGUUCACAGCUCUGCUUUUGUGCCUUCUAAAUCCCAUGUGUUCAAAACGGCCAAUGAAUCUCACAGUGUAACAGCGUAGUCAUCUAUGUUUUCUUUUACUGGUUUUUAUGCCUUUUCUCUUCAUGCAAAUCUUUAGAUAUUCACUAUGUAGUGAGAAAUGGAUUUGCAUCCAACUUUAUAUUUUAGACAGCUCAUUGCGAGUGCUUCCUAACUAGAAAUGCCCACUGUAUGGUACACUAAAAUCUCUGUCUGUGGACUUGUCCCAGCCAGCGUGAUUUCUGCUCCUCUGGGCUAUGCUUUGAUUAUUUUAUCAAACCAUACUGCUUUACUGAACUGUCACCAACUAAUGCAUUUUUAAUGUUGGGCAAGACAAAUUCCUCAUAACCACCAAUCAAAGAAUUGUCUUGGCUCUCAUCAGCAGUUUAUUCCACACCUAAAUUAAAAGUUAUUUAAAUUAUAUUGGUUUAUUUGUGUGUGUGUGUGUGUGUGUGUAUGUGUGUGUGUGUGCGUGUGUGUGUGAGUGUGUGUAUGUGUAGGUAUGUGUGUAGGUGUAUGUGUAGGUGUGUGUAUGUGUUUGUGGUGUGUUUGUGUGAGUGUGUGUGUGUAGGUGUGUGUAUGUGUUUGUGGUGUGUUUGUGUGAGUGUGUGUGUAGGUGUGUAUAGGCGUGUGUGUAGGUUUGUGUGUGUAGGUGUGUAUAUGUGUUUGUGGUGUGUUUGUGUGUGUGUGUGUGUGUGUGUAGGUAUGUGUGUAGGUGUAUGUGUAGGUGUGUGUAUGUGUUUGUGGUGUGUUUGUGUGAGUGUGUGUGUGUGUAGGUAUGUAUAGGUGUGUGUGUAGGUUUGUGUGUGUAGGUGUGUAUAUGUGUUUGUGUGAGUGUGUAUGUGUAUGUGUGUGUAGGUGUGUAUAGGUGUGUGUGUAGGUUUGUGUGUGUGUAAUUGUGUGUUGUGUGUGUAUGUGUGUGUGGUGUGUCUGUGUGAGUGGUGUGUCUGUGUGAGUGAGUGUGUGUGUGUGUGUGUGCGUGCAUGUGUGUAGGUGUGUGCUGAGAUUCAAACUCAGAUUUUCACGCUUGCAAAACAAGUAUUCUAACCACUGGGCCAUCUCCUGUGGAUGUCAUUCAGACUAAUUUUUGACUUUGUACAUGUCCUGAGUUUUAUUGUUCGACUUAUUUCCAGGUAAUUUAGGACUUGAUCUGUUGCAAAUUAUUUUCAAAACUCUGUAUUUCCCAACUUCUUAUAUUUUAUGUAUGAGAAAGCCACUGAUUGUUGCAUUACUUAAAACUGAUUAUACUUCUGCGUAUUUAUUGUUUUAAUAUUUUUCUGUUAUUUUGGUUUUCUCUGGGAAUACCGCCUUAUUAUCUAUAAAUUAUGAUUGCUCCAUCUCUUCCCAUAUUCUCAGCAGCUUUUAUACUCCUGUCUAAUUGCUUCCCUCUGUACUUUAUUUUACAAUGGUGGCAAGAAACGCUCUUAAACUGUUUCUAAUGGGAUGCCUCUAGUAUUUUUACAAUUAAUUAUGAAGGUAAUUUUUGGAUGGAAAUGUGUAUUUUUUUUUUAAAUCCUGUAAGGAGAUAACCACCCAAUUGCAAGCAUCAGAAGUGGAUAUUAAAUUUUUAUUAAAUGUCUUUAUGGCCUAUAAAAAAGA
This is a long non-coding RNA of Rattus norvegicus (Norway rat), 7919 nucleotides long. RefSeq lists it as uncharacterized. NCBI's taxonomy places the organism in Eukaryota, Metazoa, Chordata, Mammalia, Rodentia, Muridae. The record is from RefSeq and is a predicted model, not a curated record.